RNAcentral lists this ribosomal RNA (301 nucleotides) under uncultured bacterium. Its description in RNAcentral is "partial 16S ribosomal RNA". It matches the Rfam family "Bacterial small subunit ribosomal RNA", at positions 509 to 809 of the family's 1533-position model. The record is from RNAcentral.
CAGCCGCCGCGGUAAUACGAAGGGUGCAAGCGUUACUCGGAAUUACUGGGCGUAAAGCGUGCGUAGGUGGUGGUUUAAGUCCGUUGUGAAAGCCCUGGGCUCAACCUGGGAAUUGCAGUGGAUACUGGGUCACUAGAGUGUGGUAGAGGAUAGUGGAAUUUCCGGUGUAGCAGUGAAAUGCGUAGAGAUCGGAAGGAACAUCUGUGGCGAAGGCGACUAUCUGGGCCAACACUGACACUGAGGCACGAAAGCGUGGGGAGCAAACAGGAUUAGAUACCCCUGUAGUCCCUGUCUCUUAUCC